AAAAACUUAUUUUAGGUCCCUGGUUUGAAGGACCUCUUUCCAGUUUUUUUUUUCAGAUAGCCCAGCAGCCAUCCGGGCCCUUUAAAACAGGACGAUGAAAUCUAAGCUGCUUAGAGACUGCUUCGACAUGCACCAAAUUUUGGAAGCCAAAACACGGAUACUGUAGAAUCGAAGAAAAUGAGGUCGACGAGUGCCGAAGAGUAGGCACAAGAAGGAUCACUAACUGACUUUUAGGGACCUGGAACAUUCUGUGGUCUCAGUUGGUCCUCCUCGAGUGCCAUAGUUACUCAGUUGAUACACUCUGAACGCGGUAAGUGCUGUCGCGAACGAGAAACAUAAAACAAGUCCAGAUCGUUCGCGUUCGCGAAUGUUAGGUAGAAAAAUAUUCCGCUGUUCGUACACGUACCUAUGUGUUGGUGGACCAAGCAGCGUGCGUUCAUAUAACUAUGUAGCUAUAAGUUGCAUCGAUACGUUCGCGAACGUUCACUACUGUCGUUCUCGUUCAUAAGUGAAUGCAAAUGCUGCGUCAGUGCGUCAAACAUUCGCGGAAAGUUGGUGUGGCUAGAUAUAUUAUUCUAUGCGAAGGCAAUUUUGUUAAUUUCAUAAGAUUUGCACCCAUGAUUCAAUAAAAAAAAGGUUUUGUAAUAAAACAGUCUUCUCGCUCCCACACAUAAAAUCGGCUCUUUUACUUGUGCAGAAUGUUGCUGACUAUAGUUUCUAGUCAUAUUGGUAGUAAAAGCUAAAGUUCUUCAUACUAAAUAUCCGUUGGCAUCACUGACUCGUUUUUGUCAUCUCCUUUACAUUAAUUCGUUGACAUUUGCCAUUCCGAUUGCGUUAAUUCUGAAUAUCAUCUCGUAGUUACCACGGUAAGUUUCUUUGGGUUUUUUUUUUGGUGUUUUCCAUGUCCAAGUGGGGCGCCACAAACUACGUUAGCGUUCCAAACACACACACACACGUUCCUAUUCGCUUUUGGAUUUGCCUGUCCAAGUGCAGCAGCACCCUUUCGUAAGUGCUUACUUUAUGUCAGAGGUGGGCACUCACACUAUCACACACAUGCGCUUUUGUGCGAAGCAGCGACCCUGUGGGGAAAAUCUCUAGUUCUGAACUGGUGCGCUUCUAGUACAUUUAGACCCAGUAUUGGGUCGCGAUAAAUCUCUUUUGCAUGCAAGCAACUGGCGAAUUUAACAUGGCGAUGUCCUAGGAAGUGUCAAUUGUCGCCCGCUGCAUCCCUUUUUCGAUAGUUCCGAACAAGUCCUAAAUUCUAUAGUUCCGAACCAGUUCUGAAAUCGGCGGACGAAAGAAAAAAAGUAUCAUAAUUUUGUAAUCUUUUUGGUUCUUCCGUGUGUGCGAUGUUAAGUUAUUUUGGAAGCAAUGUGUUUUUAAUUUGAAAUUAAAUUUGUUUGAAUGAUU
Long non-coding RNA from Rhagoletis zephyria (snowberry fruit fly), 1410 nucleotides. RefSeq lists it as uncharacterized. NCBI's taxonomy places the organism in Eukaryota, Metazoa, Arthropoda, Insecta, Diptera, Tephritidae. The record is from RefSeq and is a predicted model, not a curated record.